RNAcentral lists this microRNA precursor (133 nucleotides) under Manihot esculenta (cassava). RNAcentral's name for it is "precursor microRNA miR172d". It matches the Rfam family "mir-172 microRNA precursor family". From Rfam's summary of the family: mir-172 has been experimentally verified in Arabidopsis thaliana. Lineage: Eukaryota; Viridiplantae; Streptophyta; Magnoliopsida; Malpighiales; Euphorbiaceae. The record is from RNAcentral.
UUGUUUGCGGGCGUAGCAUCAUCAAGAUUCACAUGCAAAUGCACGGUGGUGAUCCUCUCUCUCUUUCUCUCUUCAUCCCCAUGAACCAAAGUUAUUUGAAGUGAGAAUCUUGAUGAUGCUGCAUCGGCAAUAA